ACGGAAGGCAGCAGUGAGGAAUAUUGGUCAAUGGACGCAAGUCUGAACCAGCCAUGCCGCGUGCAGGAAUAAGGCCCUAUGGGUCGUAAACUGCUUUUGUGGUGGAGCAAUAAGUCGUACGUGUACGGCGAUGAGAAUACAUCACGAAUAAGCAUCGGCUAACUCCGUGCCAGCAGCCGCGGUAAUACGGAGGAUGCAAGCGUUAUCCGGAUUUAUUGGGUUUAAAGGGUGCGUAGGCUGUGGUCCAAGUCAGGGGUGAAAGCCCGGAGCUCAACUCCGGAACUGCCUUUGAUACUGGAUUGCUGGAAUACGGAUGCCGUGGGAGGAAUGAGUAGUGUAGCGGUGAAAUGCAUAGAUAUUACUCAGAACACCGAUUGCGAAGGCAUCUCACGAAUCCGUCAUUGACGCUGAGGCACGAAAGCGUGGGGAUCAAACAGGAUUAGAUACCCUGGUA
RNAcentral lists this ribosomal RNA (454 nucleotides) under uncultured Rikenellaceae bacterium. Its description in RNAcentral is "partial 16S ribosomal RNA". It matches the Rfam family "Bacterial small subunit ribosomal RNA", at positions 341 to 792 of the family's 1533-position model. Lineage: Bacteria; Pseudomonadati; Bacteroidota; Bacteroidia; Bacteroidales; Rikenellaceae. The record is from RNAcentral.